GGAUAAUCUCACUUUGUGGACCUCUGAUAUGCAGGAUGAUGGGACAGACGAGAUCAAAGAUGCAUCCAAGCAUGAGGAGGAGCAAAAGCAAUGAAGUCACUUAACCUAGUGAUAAAUUUUACUUCUCCACUAUUUGUUUUUGUUCGGAGAAGUAGCUUGGUCCACUACUCCUAUUAUGAGUUUUCAGUAGUUGAUCCUUGUUUUAUUAAGCUUGGAAGUAUUUUUACUUCUUAGUUUUUUAUUUUAAUUUUUUAAAAUUCUGUUCAGGUCGUGAAUGCUUAACUUUCAAUUGUUUUUGUGACAAUCAAGGAACUAACGACCAUUAUUUACUUCUUCUUCCCUUUUUUUAAAAGUUCAAGCGUGAUUAUUCAUGGAAGACAUGUUCCUUGAAAUUGUGAGAUUGAUACAUGUGAGAUUCUAGUAGUAUGAUGAUGUUAUGUUGGCAGAGCUAUUUCCAAGUGAAUUGUUUUACUGUUUCUUCAUUGUGAUUGUCCUUGAAUCAUGUUUUUCCCUAAUUAAUAAAGAAUUUUUCCUAUUCUUAUAAUAAAA
RNAcentral lists this unclassified non-coding RNA (549 nucleotides) under Hevea brasiliensis (rubber tree). The record is from RNAcentral. Lineage: Eukaryota; Viridiplantae; Streptophyta; Magnoliopsida; Malpighiales; Euphorbiaceae.